UUCCGGUUGAUCCCGCCGGASCUGACUGCUAUCGGAUUGAUACUAAGCCAUGCGAGUCUUUGUAGUAAUACAAGGCAGACGGCUCAGUAACACGUAGUCAAUCUACCCUAUGGACAGGGAUAACCUCGGGAAACUGAGAAUAAUACCUGAUAGAUCAUUAUGCCUGGAAUGGUUUAUGGUCGAAAUGAUUUAUCGCCGUAGGAUGGGACUGCGGUCUAUCAGCUUGUUGGUGAGGUAAUGGCCCACCAAGGCUAUAACAGAUACGGGCUCUGAGAGGAGAAGCCCGGAGAUGGGUACUGAGACACGGACCCAGGCCCUAUGGGGCGCAGCAGGCGAGAAAACUUUGCAAUGUGCGAAAGCACGACAAGGUUAAUCCGAGUGUUUUCUGCUAAAGAAAUCUUUUGUCAGUCCUAAAAACACUGAUGAAUAAGGGGUGGGCAAGUUCUGGUGUCAGCCGCCGCGGUAAAACCAGCACCUCAAGUGGUCAGGAGGAUUAUUGGGCCUAAAGCAUCCGUAGCCGGCUCUGUAAGUUUUCGGUUAAAUCUAUACGCUCAACGUAUAGGCUGCCGGGAAUACUGCAAAGCUAGGGAGUGGGAGAGGUAGACGGUACUCGGUAGGAAGGGGUAAAAUCCUUUGAUCUAUUGAUGACCACCUGUGGCGAAGGCGGUCUACUAGAACACGUCCGACGGUGAGGGAUGAAAGCUGGGGGAGCAAACCGGAUUAGAUACCCGGGUAGUCCCAGCUGUAAACUAUGCAAACUCAGUGAUGCACUGGCUUGUGGCCAGUGCAGUGCCGCAGGGAAGCCGUUAAGUUUGCCGCCUGGGAAGUACGUACGCAAGUAUGAAACUUAAAGGAAUUGGCGGGGGAGCACCACAAGGGGUGAAGCCUGCGGUUCAAUUGGAGUCAACGCCGGGA
RNAcentral lists this ribosomal RNA (915 nucleotides) under uncultured archaeon. RNAcentral's name for it is "bacterial SSU rRNA". It matches the Rfam family "Archaeal small subunit ribosomal RNA", at positions 1 to 923 of the family's 1478-position model. The record is from RNAcentral.